RNAcentral lists this transfer RNA (64 nucleotides) under Furcilarnaca armata. RNAcentral's name for it is "tRNA-His". The record is from RNAcentral. Lineage: Eukaryota; Metazoa; Arthropoda; Insecta; Orthoptera; Gryllacrididae.
ACUUAAAUAGUUUAAUUUAAAAUAUUGAUUUGUGGUGUCAAAGAUAUGAUGUGCAUUUUGAGUU